GCUUCGCUAGUCUCUAUCUGGGAGAUAGUAAAUGCAGAUGUUAAGAGACAUUGCGCUCGCUCGUAUUGCGCUUGUUGUUGCCCGUAAUGCAGUUAGCGGAAGACAAAAGGUCAAUUCUUAAAGUCCGGGAAGGCAAAACUAAUCUUCCGCGUUAAUUUUCCGCCGAGUACGAGCACACUUACGGUGACGCGUUUUAAUUAAAAUCUGAAUAGACAGUAAUCAGAACGGGCAAUGUCCUGGUGAGUACGCUGGAUGCGAAAGGAAGGACUUCCCAUUCCAACGGGGCUUUCUUCGUUUCCUUAGCAACAUGGAGUCUGUAAUCCGCGUCGAAAUCACCACUUCUAAACCAUUUAAACCACUCCUCACGCGUAUCGGAUACAGCAUUCUCACUAUAAGUCCUACAAACGAGUCUUUUCUUCAGCAGUCUUCUUUUAAUUAAACAGAAACAGAAUGCAGUGGCAAAUAUGCACUUUACUUGGUCCCUUUUAAAUGUAUUAGAAACGUUUCUAGAGAGACAAGCAUUAAACAUGUGUACAUAUGUAAUGUUUGUUAUAUACUACACUUUCGAAUGUAGAAUAUAAAAUAUUUAAAAAAUAAAAAUUAUUUAUUUCACAUUAUUA
Molecule: long non-coding RNA, 620 nt
Organism: Solenopsis invicta (red fire ant)
Lineage: Eukaryota; Metazoa; Arthropoda; Insecta; Hymenoptera; Formicidae
Exons: 2
Source: RefSeq, a predicted model, not a curated record